This 76-nucleotide transfer RNA is filed under the name Acidobacteriota bacterium. RNAcentral's name for it is "Acidobacteria bacterium (mine drainage metagenome) tRNA-Thr". It matches the Rfam family "tRNA". From Rfam's summary of the family: Transfer RNA (tRNA) molecules are approximately 80 nucleotides in length. Their secondary structure includes four short double-helical elements and three loops (D, anti-codon, and T loops). Lineage: Bacteria; Pseudomonadati; Acidobacteriota. RNAcentral also lists the same sequence under 2 other names. The record is from RNAcentral.
GCCCAGAUAGCUCAGUCGGCAGAGCAUCUCACUCGUAAUGAGAAGGUCGCGGGUUCGAUUCCCGCUCUGGGCUCCA